Molecule: ribosomal RNA, 466 nt
Filed under: uncultured bacterium
Lineage: Bacteria
Description: partial 16S ribosomal RNA
Rfam family: Bacterial small subunit ribosomal RNA
Source: RNAcentral
GAUGAACGCUGGCGGCGUGCUUAACACAUGCAAGUCGAACGAUGAAGCCCAGCUUGCUGGGUGGAUUAGUGGCGAACGGGUGAGUAACACGUGAGUAACCUGCCCUUAACUUUGGGAUAAGCCUGGGAAACUGGGUCUAAUACCGGAUAGGAGCGUCCACCGCAUGGUGGGUGUUGGAAAGAUUUAUCGGUUUUGGAUGGACUCGCGGCCUAUCCGCUUGUUGGUGAGGUAAUGGCUCACCAAGGCGACGACGGGUAGCCGGCCUGGGAGGGUGACCGGCCACACUGGGACUGAGACACGGCCCAGACUCCUACGGGAGGCAGCAGUGGGGAAUAUUGCACAAUGGGCGCAAGCCUGAUGCAGCGACGCCGCGUGAGGGAUGACGGCCUUCGGGUUGUAAACCUCUUUCAGUAGGGAAGAAGCGAAAGUGACGGUACCUGCAGAAGAAGCACCGGCUAACUACGUG